Molecule: ribosomal RNA, 406 nt
Filed under: uncultured bacterium
Lineage: Bacteria
Description: partial 16S ribosomal RNA
Rfam family: Bacterial small subunit ribosomal RNA
Source: RNAcentral
AUUGAACGCUGGCGGCAGGCCUAACACAUGCAAGUCGAACGAGUGGCAGACGGGUGAGUAAUGUCUGGGAAACUGCCUGAUGGAGGGGGAUAACUACUGGAAACGUUAGCUAAUACCGCAUAACAGCCGACGUGCCCAUCUGGGCUUGGCUAGUGGGUGGGGUAAAGGCUCACCUAGGCGACUAUCCCUAGCUGGUCUGAGAGGAUGCCCAGCAACACUGGAACUGAGACACGGUCCAGACUCCUACGGGAGGCAGCAGUGGGGAAUAUUGCACAAUGGGCGCAAGCCUGAUGAAGCCAUGCCGCGUGUAUGAAGAAGGCCUUCGGGUUGUAAAGUACUUUCAGCGGGGAGGCGUUACCCGCAGAAGAAGCACCGGCUAACUCCGUGCCAGCCGCCGCGGUAAUAC